This is an RNA transcript of Syngnathus typhle (broad-nosed pipefish), 15049 nucleotides long. RefSeq lists it as uncharacterized. The record is from RefSeq and is a predicted model, not a curated record. The transcript has 2 exons. Lineage: Eukaryota; Metazoa; Chordata; Actinopteri; Syngnathiformes; Syngnathidae.
UAAAUUGUGGACAAAAUCCAACAAGUGCAAUACUGACCUCAAAGCCAAGUUCAGGGAGGUGAGUGGAAAAACAGCGGAGCUUGGACAAUUUUUGAGAAAACUCCCCCCCCACCUUCCCUGAGCUUUCCAGGAUGUUCAAGCGGAACAUGAGCCUUUUUGGCAGCACCUAUCUGUGUGUAAAGCUCUUCUCCACAAUGAACUUCAAUAAGUCAAAGUUCAGGUCCCGACUUAUAGAUGAGCGCCUUAAAGCCAUACUGAGGGUCUCAGUUGCCUCCUCCCUCAAGCCAAAUGUGGCUCAGCUGUGUGAGAGGAAGCGCUGCCAAGUCUUUGACAGCAAGGAUUAGGAGGAAGUAAAUGAAGCCUAUGUUCUGAAGAACUGUUCAUGUUCUGCAUGUUCUGACUUGUUAAGAUUGAGAAGAUUGGUUCAGUUGACCUUUUUGUUUUGAAUACUUGAAGCCUUUUUUUUUGUGGGAUACUUCAUGCGGCCCAGCCUCACCCAGACUCUACCUCCAGCGGCCCCUAGGUAAGUUGAGUUUGAGACCCCUGGUCUAGACGAAGGCUUUUUUCAAACUUUAGACUUGAAAAAGGGGGUUGUCUUAUAAUCGGGGUCAUCUUAAAUUUGGGCCAAUACGAUACUUAAGUUAAGUCACUUGCACAAAUGCACAUGUAAACACGUGUAUUUGUAGACACCUGUGAAGACAUAAUGGACAUAAUGUACAUGCAUGCACAUGCAAACGGAGCAACAGGUGGCUACUUUCCUGCAGUCCAAGGGGAUACAGCUGGACUGCGACAACAACGAAGCUUGCCACCCUCUGCCCAAGAGGAGCCUCGGAGACAAACCUGCUGUCAUCAUGCGGUUUGUCAACAAAAAACACAAGAUUGCACUAUUAAAACAAGGAAGUAAGCUGAGAGGAACCAACGUCUACAUCAAUGAGCACCUAACCAAGCACAACGCUGAUAUUGCCAAAAAAGCACGCUACCUGAGGAAGCAGAAAAAAAUUCAACAUACCUGGACUACAAACUGUAAAAUAUUUAUCAAGCUCAAUGGAACACCGGAGGAAGCAAAAGUGCUGAUGGUAAGGAGUAUGGAGGAGCUGGAUAGAUACCAAUGAUCAUCAUGCAGGACUGUAAGGUAAACUCUACUCACAACCAUGGCACACAUCGAAAGAAAUCAAGCAUCUACACCUGAAGACAACAGUAACAUAACUCAGAGGAUUAGUGAACACGACAAACUGGAACUCCAAUCAUUUCAAUACACUGACCACAGUUCACUGGAUAUGGAACAUGAUAUAGACCCGGAUAACAACUUCUUUAACUCAAUCAACAAUAACUGCAGUUAUUAUACUGAUGAAGAAUUUAAUAGAAUCAAUACAGAUAGCAGACUGUCUAUUAUACAUAUUAACAGUAGGAGUCUGUAUGCCAACUUUACAAACAUUAAGGAUUAUCUUCAUCAGUUUACAGAUCUAUGUGGAAAAGACAUUAAACGUCAGGGUGAUACGGGAUAUGUCAAUGGUAGUUAACAACAUAUUGGAAUGCAUAACAAUUGAAAUACUUAAGGAAAGAAAGAAAAAUGUAAUCAUUCGCUGUAUAUAUCGGACACCAGGUUCUAGCAUUGAACUGUUCACAGAAUGGAUGGAGGAGGUGUUUUCAAAGGUCAGUUGCAAAACAAUUUUCAUCUCUGGAGACUUCAACAUUGAUUUACUCAAUCCAAACAAGCACAAACUGACCGAACACUUUGUUAACACAAUAUAUAGCAUGAACUUGUAUCCAAAAAUCACUAGACCAACCAGAAUAACUUCUCACUGUGCCACUCUUAUUGAUAAUAUAUUCACAAAUUACAUUUUAAACAACACCAUAAGUGGGUUAUUAGUCAGCGACAUCAGUGAUCAUUUGCCAGUUUUUAUGGGUUUUGAUGACAACUAUAAAAUUAUCCAACUGGCCAGAAAACAGGAAUACAGAAGAAUUAAAACAGAAGAAACAAUAAACGCAUUUAAAAAUGGUUUAAUGUCACAAAAUUGGGAUAUUAUAUGCAAUAAAAAUAAUAUUAACUGUGCAUAUGAGGAAUUCUUAAAAAUCUUCAAAAGGUUAUAUGACAAAUACUGCCCUGUAAAAGUAAAUAAUAGGAAACUAAAGUAUGUAAAUCAUCCCUGGAUCACAAAGGGCUUACAAAAUGCCUGUAAAGAGAAAAAUACAAUUUACAGAGAAUUUAUAAGACAAAGAACUAAAGAGGCAGAAAAUAAAUAUAAACAAUAUAAGAAUAAACUAACUAAUAUUAAAAGAGCUGCUAGAAAAGAAUACUAUAGUAAAAUAUUAAAUGAUAAUAAAAACAACACCAAAGAAAUAUGGAAUAUAAUGAAUACUGUAAUAAAAAAUGGCUCUAAAAAAAUUGAUUAUCCUAAAUAUUUUAUUAUCAGGAAUACUGAGAAGAAGUGGCUGAAAACCUCAAUACAUUCUUUGUAAAUACGGGACCUGAUCUGGCCAAACAAAUCCCAGAUUCAGUAACAACUGAGGAGCAAUGUAAUAGUUUAAUAGAUAGGAAUCUGAGCUCAAUGUUCCUCAAAGCAGCGGAUGAGAAAGAAAUCAUAAAGAUAGUUUCCCAAUGCACAAACAAGACAUCCAAAGACUGUGAUGACAUUGACAUGAUUGCCGUAAAACGAGUGAUUGAGGGGAUCUCUAAACCAUUAACAUACAUCUGUAACCUAUCCUUUCAGACCGGUAUAUUUCCAGAUAAAACGAAAAUAGCAAAAAUCAUACCUUUGUAUAAAACCGGGGACAAACACCACUUCACAAACUACAUACCUGUAUCAUUACUAUCACAAUUUUCUAAAAUACUGGAAAAACUUUUCAAUAACCGACUGGACAAAUUUAUAGAUAAAUAUAAAGUACUCACUGAAAGUCAAUAUGGAUUUAGAUCCAACAGAGCAACGUCACUGGCACUAAUUGACUCAGUGGAGGAAAUUACUAACGCAAUAGACCUAAAACAAUAUACAGUUGGGAUAUUCAUUGAUCUAAAAAAGGCAUUUGACACAAUAAAUCAUGAAAUAUUCUUCAAUAAAUUACAUCGGUAUGGCAUCAGGGGGAAACCAUAGAAUUGAUCAAGAGCUAUUUAACAAAAAGGAAGCAGUUUGUGAAGUUGGGUGACACUUGUUCAACGUGUUUGGACAUUAGUUGUGGCGUCUCUCAGGGGUCAGUGUUGGGCCCUAAACUUUUUAUAUUAUAUAUAAAUGAUAUAUGCAAGGUAUCACAUAUUUUGAAGAUGGUUUUGUUUGCGGAUGACACAAAUAUUUUUUGUUCUGGUAGUGAUUUACACACCUUAACAACACUAAUAAAUAAUGAAUUAAGCAAAUUAAAGGUAUGGCUGGACAGCAAUAAAUUAUCCUUAAACCUAAGCAAAACAAGAGUAAUACUUUUUGGUAAUCACAGAACUAAUUUGAAAAUAGAGAUAAAGAUGGAUGGGGUUAUUAUUGAAAGAGUGAAUGAGAUUAAAUUUUUAGGGGUGAUAAUAGAUGAUAAGAUCAGUUGGAAAUCACAAGUUAAACAUGUACAAUAGGGGUGUAACGAUUCAUCGAUACACAUCGAAAAACAUUCUGUAUUUCAAUAUGUGGAGUUAAGUUAUGGAAUACUUUGGUGAAACGCUCAGGGAAUGUUCAAACAUCUAUCAGUUUAAAAAAAGAUAUAAAGAAGAAAUUGUUUUUACAAGGUACAGAAAUGAGGUGUAUGAGUAUCAUGGGGUGCUUAGUAAUUAUUGAUUUACGUUUCUUUGUUGGUUUAGUUUGUCUGUUUGUCAUUGUUUUGUUCAGGCUGGUUUUAUUUUUUUGUUUUUAUUUUGUUUAUUUCUACCAUUCAGGUAUUUUUGUGUUGUAUUUGAGGUAUGUAUGUAUGUUAAGUGUCUGUGUGUGAAAUAUACGUAUGUAUUAAUAGUGUGUAGGUACAUGUUAAGUGUCUAGCGAGCAGCAGGUGGGAGAUAAUUUAGUAAUUUAGUAUUUUGUUGGAAUAACUGAGGCAAAAUGAUUUAUGGCUGGGUAUUUAGAGAUUAUUAAAUAGGGGGUGGGAUUAAAUAAAUUAUACUUCUUCCUACUCCUUUUCAGACAUGUGAAUGUGACUUAUGGUUCUUUUGCGGUUAUAUCUUUAUUGCUACGCUUGUAGUUUGUGUGCAUGUAUAUGUUAUAUAUGUUAUGUAUAAACAUACACAUGUAUAUGUAUAUUUGUAUAUGUAUAUAUGUAUAUGUAUGUAUGUAGGUAUGUCUGUAUGUGUAUAUAUGUAUAUGCAUGUAUUUUGUCAUGUCUUUUUAUUGUGUACAGUAAGCUUAUUCUUUUUUCACAUGUUUGAAAUAAAUAAACGAAACGAAACGAAACUUGUUUGAUAGUGUUGUUUAAUAUUAAUAAGACAAAUAUCCAUGUCGGAAUAAAAAACAAGUAAACAUUUAAAACUCAUUUGUUGUUGGUUUAAUGGAAUUCAGCUGUUCAGCCCACAAAACACAAUGUCUACAUUUAGGGUAGAUACUUUUGUACAUAGUUUAACACAGUUAAGUAAAUGUCCCGUGGGACUCUGAUGGUCUGGUUACAUCAAUGGUGGGCCUGAGGUCAGCCAUAUUCUGCUCUCACAAGGGACAAUGAACAAGUGGAAUAAUCACUCCAGAACGGGUCGCAUCUUGCUCACUGGCAGUAUUAAAGUCAAGAUCCUCAGUUUCCUAUAUUAAAAAAAAACUGAUUAAAAAAGUCCUACCUCGAAGAGAUCAAGAUCCCUCUGCAGACGUAGAAGAAACAUGCUGGGAACAGAACAGGUGGAUGCUGUCAGAAAGGUCUAGGAGACCUUCAUCUUCAACGCUGUGGGGAACCUCAUAGUACUAUCUAUCUAUCUAUCUAUCUAUCUAUCUAUCUAUCUAUCUAUCUAUCUAUCUAUCUAUCUAUCUAUCUAUCUAUCUAUCUAUCUAUCUAUCUAUCUAUCUAUCUAUCUAUCUAUCUAUCUAUCUAUCUAUCUAUCUAUCUAUCUAUCUAUCUAUCUAUCUAUCUAUCUAUCUAUCUAUCUAUCUAUCUAUCUAUCUAUCCACACGCUCAUGCAUAUGUAUAGCACAACGUCCUGAGCACGACGUUAAACUGCUACCAAAGACUGGCUCUCGGCAGGAAGCGCGGAGGAAACCCUCAGAGGUUCAACGGGCCGAUUGGCGACACCAGCAAGCUUUGUGGAGCGCUGCGGGCUGGAUGCAUCACCUCGUAAUGUAUUCAGGCCAUCCAGUGCACCCGGCUCCAUCUCCAGCCAUCUUGACUCUGUCUUUCCACUGGAUACAAGUGGACUCAGGCGAGAGAGUGAGGUUGACACUGCGCAACCCACCCUCACUUAAAGUCAUGACUUCACACACACACGCACACACAAACACGCACACACACUCCCCGCAAUUGAGGCUAUGUCAUCGUCAGGCAUAGGGACAGACAGGAUGUCAGGGUCACUAAGGCAGUGUGUGGUGCAGAGUGCUGGACUGACCACACGCUCCUGGUAUCAAAGCUGAACAUCAAGAUUCACCCUCCUAGGAGGCUUCAAGGUUCCAAAGCAUUUGAAUGUCUCCAGGCUCGCCAACACCUUUGUGAAGCAAUCCCUGGAUGAAAAGCUCGCCAGUAAACUGCAAGACCUGAAACCUUCAGGGAAUGUGGAGUUGGACUGGAUUCAAGCAGGGCUGUGUUCUGGCACCCACUCUGUUCAGCAUGAUGUUCUCAGCCAUGCUGACAGACACAUACCGUUUUAGGGACAUGGGAAUAGACCUGCGCUACCGCACCGAUGGCAAGCUGUUCAACCUACGGAGACUACAGGCUAAAACAAGAGUGCAGAUGACCACAGUCUGCGACUUCCUCUUUGCGGACGACUGCGCACUCAAUGCAUCCAGCCAGAUGGAAAUGCAACUGAGCAUGGACAUCUUUGCCACAGCAUGCUCUGACUUUGGCCUCACCAAGUUCGUCUACCUAGGUAGCACCCUGUCCCGUAUGGCCAAUAUAGAUGAGGAAAUCAUGCACAGGGUGGCACAUGGAAGUGCAGCCUUGGGCAGACUCCGCAGCUCUGUCUGGGAACGUAGAAGGCUCUGCCUGCAGACCAAACUCAAGGUCUACAGUGCUGUUGUCCUCCCCUCCCUGCUCUAUGCCUGUGAGACAUGGACCGUCUACAGCCGACAUGCAAAGCAGCUCAAUGGCUUCCACAUGAGAUGCCUCAGGAAGCUACUGAACAUCAGAUGGCAGGACAAGAUCCCAGACACUGAGGUCCUCCACAGGGCAGAGAUGGAAAGCAUCUAUGCCACCCUCAAGCGCUCCCAGCUGCGAUGGGCUAUUCGUGUCUGCCGCAUGCUAGACGAACGCCUUCCAAAAAGGCUUCUGUACGGCGAACUACACUUUGGCAAGCACUCUCGUGGCGGCCAGCGGAAGCGGUACAAGGACACCCUAAAGGCCAGUCUCAAAAGCUGCGGUCUAGACCCAGAGACCUGGGAGGCCAAUGCCCAACACCGACCAAACUGGCGCACUGCAGUCAAGCACGGCUGCCCUAAAUUGUGGACAAAAUCCAACAAGUGCAAUACUGACCUCAAAGCCAAGUUCAGGGAGGUGAGUGGAAAAACAGCGGAGCUUGGACAAUUUUUGAGAAAACUCCCCCCCCACCUUCCCUGAGCUUUCCAGGAUGUUCAAGCGGAACAUGAGCCUUUUUGGCAGCACCUAUCUGUGUGUAAAGCUCUUCUCCACAAUGAACUUCAAUAAGUCAAAGUUCAGGUCCCGACUUAUAGAUGAGCGCCUUAAAGCCAUACUGAGGGUCUCAGUUGCCUCCUCCCUCAAGCCAAAUGUGGCUCAGCUGUGUGAGAGGAAGCGCUGCCAAGUCUUUGACAGCAAGGAUUAGGAGGAAGUAAAUGAAGCCUAUGUUCUGAAGAACUGUUCAUGUUCUGCAUGUUCUGACUUGUUAAGAUUGAGAAGAUUGGUUCAGUUGACCUUUUUGUUUUGAAUACUUGAAGCCUUUUUUUUUGUGGGAUACUUCAUGCGGCCCAGCCUCACCCAGACUCUACCUCCAGCGGCCCCUAGUCCAAGGGGAUACAGCUGGACUGCGACAACAACGAAGCUUGCCACCCUCUGCCCAAGAGGAGCCUCGGAGACAAACCUGCUGUCAUCAUGCGGUUUGUCAACAAAAAACACAAGAUUGCACUAUUAAAACAAGGAAGUAAGCUGAGAGGAACCAACGUCUACAUCAAUGAGCACCUAACCAAGCACAACGCUGAUAUUGCCAAAAAAGCACGCUACCUGAGGAAGCAGAAAAAAAUUCAACAUACCUGGACUACAAACUGUAAAAUAUUUAUCAAGCUCAAUGGAACACCGGAGGAAGCAAAAGUGCUGAUGGUAAGGAGUAUGGAGGAGCUGGAUAGAUACCAAUGAUCAUCAUGCAGGACUGUAAGGUAAACUCUACUCACAACCAUGGCACACAUCGAAAGAAAUCAAGCAUCUACACCUGAAGACAACAGUAACAUAACUCAGAGGAUUAGUGAACACGACAAACUGGAACUCCAAUCAUUUCAAUACACUGACCACAGUUCACUGGAUAUGGAACAUGAUAUAGACCCGGAUAACAACUUCUUUAACUCAAUCAACAAUAACUGCAGUUAUUAUACUGAUGAAGAAUUUAAUAGAAUCAAUACAGAUAGCAGACUGUCUAUUAUACAUAUUAACAGUAGGAGUCUGUAUGCCAACUUUACAAACAUUAAGGAUUAUCUUCAUCAGUUUACAGAUCUAUGUGGAAAAGACAUUAAACGUCAGGGUGAUACGGGAUAUGUCAAUGGUAGUUAACAACAUAUUGGAAUGCAUAACAAUUGAAAUACUUAAGGAAAGAAAGAAAAAUGUAAUCAUUCGCUGUAUAUAUCGGACACCAGGUUCUAGCAUUGAACUGUUCACAGAAUGGAUGGAGGAGGUGUUUUCAAAGGUCAGUUGCAAAACAAUUUUCAUCUCUGGAGACUUCAACAUUGAUUUACUCAAUCCAAACAAGCACAAACUGACCGAACACUUUGUUAACACAAUAUAUAGCAUGAACUUGUAUCCAAAAAUCACUAGACCAACCAGAAUAACUUCUCACUGUGCCACUCUUAUUGAUAAUAUAUUCACAAAUUACAUUUUAAACAACACCAUAAGUGGGUUAUUAGUCAGCGACAUCAGUGAUCAUUUGCCAGUUUUUAUGGGUUUUGAUGACAACUAUAAAAUUAUCCAACUGGCCAGAAAACAGGAAUACAGAAGAAUUAAAACAGAAGAAACAAUAAACGCAUUUAAAAAUGGUUUAAUGUCACAAAAUUGGGAUAUUAUAUGCAAUAAAAAUAAUAUUAACUGUGCAUAUGAGGAAUUCUUAAAAAUCUUCAAAAGGUUAUAUGACAAAUACUGCCCUGUAAAAGUAAAUAAUAGGAAACUAAAGUAUGUAAAUCAUCCCUGGAUCACAAAGGGCUUACAAAAUGCCUGUAAAGAGAAAAAUACAAUUUACAGAGAAUUUAUAAGACAAAGAACUAAAGAGGCAGAAAAUAAAUAUAAACAAUAUAAGAAUAAACUAACUAAUAUUAAAAGAGCUGCUAGAAAAGAAUACUAUAGUAAAAUAUUAAAUGAUAAUAAAAACAACACCAAAGAAAUAUGGAAUAUAAUGAAUACUGUAAUAAAAAAUGGCUCUAAAAAAAUUGAUUAUCCUAAAUAUUUUAUUAUCAGGAAUACUGAGAAGAAGUGGCUGAAAACCUCAAUACAUUCUUUGUAAAUACGGGACCUGAUCUGGCCAAACAAAUCCCAGAUUCAGUAACAACUGAGGAGCAAUGUAAUAGUUUAAUAGAUAGGAAUCUGAGCUCAAUGUUCCUCAAAGCAGCGGAUGAGAAAGAAAUCAUAAAGAUAGUUUCCCAAUGCACAAACAAGACAUCCAAAGACUGUGAUGACAUUGACAUGAUUGCCGUAAAACGAGUGAUUGAGGGGAUCUCUAAACCAUUAACAUACAUCUGUAACCUAUCCUUUCAGACCGGUAUAUUUCCAGAUAAAACGAAAAUAGCAAAAAUCAUACCUUUGUAUAAAACCGGGGACAAACACCACUUCACAAACUACAUACCUGUAUCAUUACUAUCACAAUUUUCUAAAAUACUGGAAAAACUUUUCAAUAACCGACUGGACAAAUUUAUAGAUAAAUAUAAAGUACUCACUGAAAGUCAAUAUGGAUUUAGAUCCAACAGAGCAACGUCACUGGCACUAAUUGACUCAGUGGAGGAAAUUACUAACGCAAUAGACCUAAAACAAUAUACAGUUGGGAUAUUCAUUGAUCUAAAAAAGGCAUUUGACACAAUAAAUCAUGAAAUAUUCUUCAAUAAAUUACAUCGGUAUGGCAUCAGGGGGAAACCAUAGAAUUGAUCAAGAGCUAUUUAACAAAAAGGAAGCAGUUUGUGAAGUUGGGUGACACUUGUUCAACGUGUUUGGACAUUAGUUGUGGCGUCUCUCAGGGGUCAGUGUUGGGCCCUAAACUUUUUAUAUUAUAUAUAAAUGAUAUAUGCAAGGUAUCACAUAUUUUGAAGAUGGUUUUGUUUGCGGAUGACACAAAUAUUUUUUGUUCUGGUAGUGAUUUACACACCUUAACAACACUAAUAAAUAAUGAAUUAAGCAAAUUAAAGGUAUGGCUGGACAGCAAUAAAUUAUCCUUAAACCUAAGCAAAACAAGAGUAAUACUUUUUGGUAAUCACAGAACUAAUUUGAAAAUAGAGAUAAAGAUGGAUGGGGUUAUUAUUGAAAGAGUGAAUGAGAUUAAAUUUUUAGGGGUGAUAAUAGAUGAUAAGAUCAGUUGGAAAUCACAAGUUAAACAUGUACAAUAGGGGUGUAACGAUUCAUCGAUACACAUCGAAAAACAUUCUGUAUUUCAAUAUGUGGAGUUAAGUUAUGGAAUACUUUGGUGAAACGCUCAGGGAAUGUUCAAACAUCUAUCAGUUUAAAAAAAGAUAUAAAGAAGAAAUUGUUUUUACAAGGUACAGAAAUGAGGUGUAUGAGUAUCAUGGGGUGCUUAGUAAUUAUUGAUUUACGUUUCUUUGUUGGUUUAGUUUGUCUGUUUGUCAUUGUUUUGUUCAGGCUGGUUUUAUUUUUUUGUUUUUAUUUUGUUUAUUUCUACCAUUCAGGUAUUUUUGUGUUGUAUUUGAGGUAUGUAUGUAUGUUAAGUGUCUGUGUGUGAAAUAUACGUAUGUAUUAAUAGUGUGUAGGUACAUGUUAAGUGUCUAGCGAGCAGCAGGUGGGAGAUAAUUUAGUAAUUUAGUAUUUUGUUGGAAUAACUGAGGCAAAAUGAUUUAUGGCUGGGUAUUUAGAGAUUAUUAAAUAGGGGGUGGGAUUAAAUAAAUUAUACUUCUUCCUACUCCUUUUCAGACAUGUGAAUGUGACUUAUGGUUCUUUUGCGGUUAUAUCUUUAUUGCUACGCUUGUAGUUUGUGUGCAUGUAUAUGUUAUAUAUGUUAUGUAUAAACAUACACAUGUAUAUGUAUAUUUGUAUAUGUAUAUAUGUAUAUGUAUGUAUGUAGGUAUGUCUGUAUGUGUAUAUAUGUAUAUGCAUGUAUUUUGUCAUGUCUUUUUAUUGUGUACAGUAAGCUUAUUCUUUUUUCACAUGUUUGAAAUAAAUAAACGAAACGAAACGAAACUUGUUUGAUAGUGUUGUUUAAUAUUAAUAAGACAAAUAUCCAUGUCGGAAUAAAAAACAAGUAAACAUUUAAAACUCAUUUGUUGUUGGUUUAAUGGAAUUCAGCUGUUCAGCCCACAAAACACAAUGUCUACAUUUAGGGUAGAUACUUUUGUACAUAGUUUAACACAGUUAAGUAAAUGUCCCGUGGGACUCUGAUGGUCUGGUUACAUCAAUGGUGGGCCUGAGGUCAGCCAUAUUCUGCUCUCACAAGGGACAAUGAACAAGUGGAAUAAUCACUCCAGAACGGGUCGCAUCUUGCUCACUGGCAGUAUUAAAGUCAAGAUCCUCAGUUUCCUAUAUUAAAAAAAAACUGAUUAAAAAAGUCCUACCUCGAAGAGAUCAAGAUCCCUCUGCAGACGUAGAAGAAACAUGCUGGGAACAGAACAGGUGGAUGCUGUCAGAAAGGUCUAGGAGACCUUCAUCUUCAACGCUGUGGGGAACCUCAUAGUACUAUCUAUCUAUCUAUCUAUCUAUCUAUCUAUCUAUCUAUCUAUCUAUCUAUCUAUCUAUCUAUCUAUCUAUCUAUCUAUCUAUCUAUCUAUCUAUCUAUCUAUCUAUCUAUCUAUCUAUCUAUCUAUCUAUCUAUCUAUCUAUCUAUCUAUCUAUCUAUCUAUCUAUCCACACGCUCAUGCAUAUGUAUAGCACAACGUCCUGAGCACGACGUUAAACUGCUACCAAAGACUGGCUCUCGGCAGGAAGCGCGGAGGAAACCCUCAGAGGUUCAACGGGCCGAUUGGCGACACCAGCAAGCUUUGUGGAGCGCUGCGGGCUGGAUGCAUCACCUCGUAAUGUAUUCAGGCCAUCCAGUGCACCCGGCUCCAUCUCCAGCCAUCUUGACUCUGUCUUUCCACUGGAUACAAGUGGACUCAGGCGAGAGAGUGAGGUUGACACUGCGCAACCCACCCUCACUUAAAGUCAUGACUUCACACACACACGCACACACAAACACGCACACACACUCCCCGCAAUUGAGGCUAUGUCAUCGUCAGGCAUAGGGACAGACAGGAUGUCAGGGUCACUAAGGCAGUGUGUGGUGCAGAGUGCUGGACUGACCACACGCUCCUGGUAUCAAAGCUGAACAUCAAGAUUCACCCUCCUAGGAGGCUUCAAGGUUCCAAAGCAUUUGAAUGUCUCCAGGCUCGCCAACACCUUUGUGAAGCAAUCCCUGGAUGAAAAGCUCGCCAGUAAACUGCAAGACCUGAAACCUUCAGGGAAUGUGGAGUUGGACUGGAUUCAAGCAGGGCUGUGUUCUGGCACCCACUCUGUUCAGCAUGAUGUUCUCAGCCAUGCUGACAGACACAUACCGUUUUAGGGACAUGGGAAUAGACCUGCGCUACCGCACCGAUGGCAAGCUGUUCAACCUACGGAGACUACAGGCUAAAACAAGAGUGCAGAUGACCACAGUCUGCGACUUCCUCUUUGCGGACGACUGCGCACUCAAUGCAUCCAGCCAGAUGGAAAUGCAACUGAGCAUGGACAUCUUUGCCACAGCAUGCUCUGACUUUGGCCUCACCAAGUUCGUCUACCUAGGUAGCACCCUGUCCCGUAUGGCCAAUAUAGAUGAGGAAAUCAUGCACAGGGUGGCACAUGGAAGUGCAGCCUUGGGCAGACUCCGCAGCUCUGUCUGGGAACGUAGAAGGCUCUGCCUGCAGACCAAACUCAAGGUCUACAGUGCUGUUGUCCUCCCCUCCCUGCUCUAUGCCUGUGAGACAUGGACCGUCUACAGCCGACAUGCAAAGCAGCUCAAUGGCUUCCACAUGAGAUGCCUCAGGAAGCUACUGAACAUCAGAUGGCAGGACAAGAUCCCAGACACUGAGGUCCUCCACAGGGCAGAGAUGGAAAGCAUCUAUGCCACCCUCAAGCGCUCCCAGCUGCGAUGGGCUAUUCGUGUCUGCCGCAUGCUAGACGAACGCCUUCCAAAAAGGCUUCUGUACGGCGAACUACACUUUGGCAAGCACUCUCGUGGCGGCCAGCGGAAGCGGUACAAGGACACCCUAAAGGCCAGUCUCAAAAGCUGCGGUCUAGACCCAGAGACCUGGGAGGCCAAUGCCCAACACCGACCAAACUGGCGCACUGCAGUCAAGCACGGCGUUGCAGACUUUGAAAAGCGACGCAUCCAUGAAGCGGAACGGAAACGACAGCUUCGCAAAACAAAAGACAGUUCUUCUCUCCCACCCAACCAGCCCUCAACCCUAACCUGCCCCCACUGCAACCGGUCAUUCCAUGCAGGGAUUGGCCUCAUCAGCCAUCUCUGCACACAUAAGACACUGUGAAGUCACAUGGUCAUCUUCGAAAGCGAAGAACGAACAUGAUGAUAGACACACACGCACGCACACACACACAUGCACGCACUUACGCGCGCGCACGCACACACACACAUACACACACACACACACAAGAUUAAUUAUGAAAUAAGGAAUGAUCUAGGUACCAAAGGUUAUUUUCUCGUCUUUGGUAUGUGUGAUAACAAAGAAAGUGAAUAAACAUUUGGUGAGCAUGUCUCCGUGGGAGUACGGUUGGGCGGAACAGUAAACUGAGGUAAACUUGAAAAUAUUAAUAAGAAAUCCUCGUCUCAAUCUGCCAGGUGACUUUGACCAAAAUAUGUAUCUUGUAAAAGGGCAUGCUGGUUUAUUUUUCAACCCAAAUUAUCAAUGCAAUCCAGGUAAAAUGACAUCAAAGAUGAUUAAAUAAUUAAAAAAAAGUAGCAUGAGAGCUUUUAUAAAAUCAUAUAGUCUGCAUUUCUUUUGCAUUAUUUGGAAUCACAGUUGAGAUGGAGUCUGCUGUAGAUGAAUUUGAGCAAGAAUCGGGAUACCCAGGAGCCAGCCAAUCACAGAGAAAUUCAGAUUUUUUUUACCUGUAAUGGCCUGCAUGUUCAUUUAUGGUUUGUCAAAACUGGCUAGGAAAAAAAAAUUAAAUUAAUGAGGAACGAAAUGUGCCUUUUAUUUUGUCCUGGAGCAGAAAUGUUCAUUGCCUAUGCCUGUAAAUUUACAGAACUGAGCCUAGUAAGAAAAAAAAUAAAAAUCAAAUUACUUUUUAAUCGUGAGAUCCAUGCAUAGAGCAGGUGUCACACCAAUUGUGGAAAUGAUGGACGUUAUUGCAGUGGGUGUCGAUUUAUCGUGCAGAUAUAUAAUUGCAUUCAACCUCUAACGAGAGCAGUAAGAUGCUUAGCACAUUCCAACCCAACUACGAAAGCCCCACAGACACAGGCACCAAGUUACUAUGAGUGGCCAAGCACAGAAAACGCGGGGAGCACAAGAACCCGAUCUUGUGCUGCCACUAGAGUGAAAGCCACGCAGGAACCACUGAAGAAAACACCUUCACCACCCUGUAGUUUGUGUCAUGUAAAAUCUUCAUUCGUCAUAAAUCAGUAGCAAAAACAAUGUCAAAUACAGCAACGAUAAACUGACGACUGAAUUUCCCACUGUCUGAAACUUGGUCCAAAGUGUUUCAACUUGCCCAAGAAUGUGGGCAUGUAUUUUUGUAUGCUGGAAUACCACUGAGAAAUGGGUGUGUAUGAUCUGCCUUCACACCGAAACAUCGUUGUUCCUUUCAUCUGUGAUGUUUCUCAUGAGUAUACAAAACUUGACCCUCAAUAUUUUUCUUUAAAAAAGCCAGUAUCUUUAACAUAAAACCCCUAACCAUCAGUUCUGAUAGAAGAAGAAAAAGCCUUCUCAGUGGCCUAGUGGUAUAGUGUCCGCCCUGAGACUGGAAGGUUGUGGGUUCAAACCCCAGCCGGGUCAUACCAAAGACUAUGAAAAUGGGACCCAUUGCCUCCCUGCUUGGCACUCAGCAUUAAGGGUUGGAAUUGGGGGGUUAGAUCACCAAAUGAUUCCUGAGCGUGGCACCGCUGCUGCUCACUGCUCCCCUUUCCCCCAGGGGAUGGAUCAAAUUCACACGGGGAUGGGUUAAAUGCAGAAGACACCCAGAUGUGUGUGUGACGAUCAUUGGGACUUUAACUUUUUAACUUUAAAAAUAAAGGGAUCAAAUGCCUCUAUUACUUCAUCUGCCAUGAAGGAAUCGAACAAAACACGCACAAACAUGCUGCAAAAAGAAUGCUCUGACUGGCCCCAAACAGAAAAAGAAAACUCUGAUAAGAUCUACCAGAACCAGUGCCAGUGCAGUACAUGUUAAUCUGAUAUGACCACUUUUCUGAUGAUGCGUGUUCUAACAUGUUACUUGUUCCAGACCGGGAGUCAGAAUGAAGUUACUUAUCCAAGUCACUGUGUGUUAUCAACAUUGUCAUUUUUAGGAAUAAAAUGAUCAAGUCCUUAAAAAGCGAGAAACAUAAUUACAAAAUGUUGUAUUAUUUACACUAUUCACCUGAUUUGGAUACAUACCACCAGAUUAAAGCUGAACAUCUUCAAUUGAA